RNAcentral lists this ribosomal RNA (460 nucleotides) under uncultured bacterium. RNAcentral's name for it is "partial 16S ribosomal RNA". It matches the Rfam family "Bacterial small subunit ribosomal RNA", at positions 29 to 523 of the family's 1533-position model. The record is from RNAcentral.
AACGAACGCUGGAGGCAUGCCUUAUACAUGCAAGUCGAACGCGAAAGUACCUUCGGGUAUCAGUACAGUGGCAAACGGGAGAGUAACGCGUGGGAAUAUACCUUAUAGUACGGAAUAGCCUCGGGAAACUGGGAUUAAUACCGUAUACGCCCUUCGGGGGAAAGAUUUAUCGCUAUAAGAUUCGCCCGCGUCAGAUUAGCUAGUUGGUGGGGUAACGGCCUACCAAGGCAACGACCUGUAGCUGGUCUGAGAGGAUGACCAGCCACAUUGGGACUGAGAUACGGCCCAAACUCCUACGGGAGGCAGCAGUAGGGAAUAUUGGACAAUGGGGGAAACCCUGAUCCAGCAAUGCCUCGUGAGUGAUGAAGGCCUUAGGGUUGUAAAGCUCUUUUAGUGGGGAAGAUAAUGGCGGUACCCACAGAAAAAGCACCGGCUAACUCCGUGCCAGCAGCCGCCGUAA